UACGUAGGGUGCGAGCGUUGUCCGGAAUUACUGGGCGUAAAGAGCUCGUAGGUGGUUUGUCGCGUUGUUCGUGAAAACUCACGGCUUAACUGUGAGCGUGCGGGCGAUACGGGCAGACUGGAGUACUGCAGGGGAGACUGGAAUUCCUGGUGUAGCGGUGGAAUGCGCAGAUAUCAGGAGGAACACCGGUGGCGAAGGCGGGUCUCUGGGCAGUAACUGACGCUGAGGAACGAAAGCGUGGGGAGCGAACAGG
This 253-nucleotide ribosomal RNA is filed under the name uncultured bacterium. RNAcentral describes it as "partial 16S ribosomal RNA". It matches the Rfam family "Bacterial small subunit ribosomal RNA", at positions 524 to 776 of the family's 1533-position model. The record is from RNAcentral.